RNAcentral lists this long non-coding RNA (2579 nucleotides) under Sus scrofa (pig). Its description in RNAcentral is "lncRNA (ENSSSCG00065020826.1)". The record is from RNAcentral. Lineage: Eukaryota; Metazoa; Chordata; Mammalia; Artiodactyla; Suidae.
UGACCUGUCUUAGUGAGAAGGAUCAGUGCCUUUCUUUUCCCACAUUAACUACUGGGCUUGUAAAUCUCCAGGUAGAAAUGAAAGGAUUUGUUUGAUGGCCCUUAACGAAUCCUGAAUGGUUUCACUUCUUUCUUUAUGCAAAGGAGAGCAUGAAGGAAUAUUAGUGGCCUGGCUCCUGGGGCCAUUUAUCUAUUGGCCUAGUAUCCAAAGAAUUUGCUUACUCUGCUGGGUGAAAAAAAGAGGAAGGGAAAGGAUUGUCCAGAUCUUGGGAAGUGCUAUGAACUCCCCUGAAUUUUUAUCCCAUCAGUUUAAAAUCCUGGGUUGUCAGCUUUGGAGACAGUACAAAUCCCUCAUUCAACAGGAUGGAGAACUGAGAUUCAGAAAGCUGAGGUGGUCAUCCAAAGUCCGGAGAGCUAGUGAAUAAUGGAGCUGAGAAUCAAUAGAUUUGAAAGAGUCAGCAACAAUAUUUUCUAGCUACCUUUCCUUAGCAUCUACUGUGUCCUUUCUGCUGUGAUAGGCACUUACAUGUCUCUUAUUAAAUUGACUCUCACAUCUGCAACAUUGAGGACUCUUAUGCCCCAUGUUUUUGUAGGUAAGUUAGACCAUCUUGAGAUGACAAAGUAGUGCUGAAAUCUCAGCGCCAUUGGCAUGACAGAUUUUUUUAUUGAAGUAUAGUUAAUUAACAAUAUCAUGUGAGUUUCAGUUAUAGUUUCAGUUAUACAGCCCAGUGAUACAGUUAUGAAUAUAUAUGUAUAUAUACAUGUAUGUGAACAUACAUAUAUAUGUACAAAUAUAUAUAUAUAUAUAUAUAUAUAUAUAAAUUUUCAGAUUCUUUUCCCUUAGAGGUUAUUACAAAAUAUUGAGUGAGUUCCCUGUGCUAUCUAGUAGGUCCUUGAUGGUUAUCUAUUUUAUGUUCAGUAGUGUGUAUAUGUAUUAAUCCCCUUAUUUCUUGUUCAUGCCAAAGUCUGAUGUGGAUUUGUGUAACAGAUGUGGUGGAUGGAGGCAUCUCUCCUCCAUACUGUCCCUAAAGACCCUGAGUGAGAGCAUCUCCAGCUUCCAGUAGAUGGCCCACAUGAUGCACACACUUCCAUGCUUGCUGGGGUGUGAGGGGCCACCACACAGAGGACUCACACCUGUGAGGGGCCACCACACAGAGGACUCACACCCAUGUCAGUACUUGGGCCCAUGAGUGCUUCACGUCACUUUGGUUGAUGGCCCGUCCCCUCCUCCCAGAGUAGUCACAUGUACCAAUCAAAGUGCAAAAGACCUGAGAAGUGACUAUCUCCCUUGCCCUUCAGAGAAGAAAGUGGGUAUUGAUGGGCACAGGAGAUGAGGACCACCCUGUUCUGCUUCUACUCUUAUCCUUCUUUCAUCUCCCCAGAGAAGCCAGAGUCAUGUUUUAUAAAGUGUACAUCUUGUUGUACAUGUAUCCAUACAAUGCUAGAUUGUAACACUAUGUUGUAAUUCUAUAUUUCCUUUGUAUCACCUUAAAAUAGAAUCCAAGCAAUUCCAUUAGACCUUUAGACCUUUUUAAAAUGGCCCUUUCCAUGCUCAUGCCACUGUUCCCAAACCCAUUUUACUUCAUCCCACGUGCUUGCUUUCAGUUCCUGCCCACUUCAAGCUCUUUCUUGGCUCAGAGUCUUUCUACAUGCUGUUCCCUCUCCUUGCUUCCCCGCCCCCCGACCCUGGGCUUUCCUUUUGCUUGGCUAAUUCUUAUGUAUCCUUCAUGUUUCAGCUUCAGUAUCAUCUUUGACCAACUAUAAGUUCCCUGUGCGUAGAGAUGGUGGCUGUUUUGGCUCUUAUUAGGUAUAUCAUACAAGGCCUGGCAGAAAGAAGAUCCUCAAUAAAUAUUUGUAAAAUGAUUACACGCAAGAGUGAAUGAACUCAGAAGCCUCCCACAGACAGUAUUAUACUUUGUCUUCAAAAACACAGUGAUGAAGGCGUGACAGAUAAAUCACUUAGAACAGGAACUAUGCCUGUUAAGUUUUUCAAUAAUGUUAUUGUGAUAAUGAUGCCUAUUUUGUAGGUAAUGAUAAUUCCAAGUAUUUCUAAUUUAUUACCUACUUCCUACACGUUGUCGAUGAAUGCUGUAUUUUUUUAAGAUUUUUAUUUUUUCUAUUAUAGUUGAUUUACUAUGUUUUGUCAAUUUCUGCUUUACAGCAAAAUGAUGCAGCCGUAUAGAUAUAUAUACAUAUACACAUAUAUAUACGUAUACAUAUACACACACACAUUCUUUUUCUCACGUUGUGGAUAUUGAAAUACACAGUAGGGGUGGAAACCUAAGAUUUGAGUGACAGUGGGAAUAUGGAACAUAUUUUUAGAGGUGGGUACCACCAAUUAAGCUUUUUUCAUAAAACUGAAGGUGUGAUAUUUUUCAAAUGAAAAAUCAAAUAUAGUUUGACAAAGGAUGUUUGUGUCACUUCCAAGUGUGGAGAGUCAUCUAAUGAGAGGAGUUUUGACACCAUUAUAUUGACAUAUCUAGGACAAUCUGAUGGCUUAGAAGGACCAUGACAUGGAAUGUACGUAAUUAGAACUGUCAUGGAAAUUCCAAGAUAGAUGGUUGUCAUCUAGUCAGAACU